CUUCCGCGCGUGGGGCCGGGGGACGCAGGAGUCGCUCCAGGGUGAGGCCGGGCGGACUCGGGCUCCGACCGCGGCCGUCCCCGCCGGCGCUUCCGGCUGUCUCGGCGUCGGUGUGAGCAGUAGGACCUCGGCUUGCGGCGCUUCUGGGGUCUCGGUGGUGCUUUGCGGGCGUAGCAGCCUCAGGUUUCCGAGCCGAGGGUGCUCGCGGGUCCCUGCCUCCCCUGAGCCGCCUUCGCCUCUGCGCUCCCCUGGUACCACUUCGUCUCCUUUGCCCUUUGGGAUCUGGCUCAGCCGUGUCCUUGUGAGGCCCUGCAGUGUGUCCCCGCCCCAUCAGUGCUCCACCUGCCUCUUACUAGUCCAGGGGACCUAAGCCCGUCUGUCCAUCUGUGUGUGUCACCUCCAGUGGUGCUACCUAGGCAGAGUUGCACACCCUAAUUGCCUGAAAUAUUUGCCAUCUGAACUUCUACAGAAAAAUCUUGCCAAUGUGGUCUACAGUAAGUGUGUGAUGGAAACCUGGAAAGCCUGGUUCUCUGAAUAAAGCAGUCAUUCUGGAAAUCAGAUACCGAUUACAAAAAUCUGUGAGAUACAGUUGAAUUUCAUCUUGUUGGAUCAUCAUGUCAUGGGUUCGGUAGCUUGCUCAGUAUUGCUCAGGGGAAAGAACUC
Ochotona princeps (American pika) is the source of this 663-nucleotide long non-coding RNA. RefSeq lists it as uncharacterized. The transcript is spliced from 3 exons. The record is from RefSeq and is a predicted model, not a curated record. NCBI's taxonomy places the organism in Eukaryota, Metazoa, Chordata, Mammalia, Lagomorpha, Ochotonidae.